CUUUACUGUAACUUGAAAUUGAAAUUGGACUUUACUUGCGCAGUAUAGGUGGGAGGCGUUGAAAAUCUUCUUGCGGGAGGAUUGGAGCCAUCAGUGAGAUACCACUCUUGUAAUGUUAGAUUUCUAACUUUGUAUCAUUAUCUGGUCAAAGAACAGUUUCAGGCGGGCAGUUUGACUGGGGCGGUCGCCUCCCAAACGGUAACGGAGGCGCACAAAGGUUUCCUCUGAACGGGUAGAAAUCGUAUCUAGAGUGUAAAGGCAUAAGGAAGCUUGACUGUGAGACUUACAAGUCGAGCAGGGACGAAAGUCGGUCUUAGUGAUCUGACGGUGCUGAGUGGAAAGGCCGUGACUCAACGGAUAAAAGUUA
RNAcentral lists this ribosomal RNA (367 nucleotides) under uncultured organism. RNAcentral describes it as "bacterial LSU rRNA". It matches the Rfam family "Bacterial large subunit ribosomal RNA", at positions 2099 to 2465 of the family's 2925-position model. The record is from RNAcentral.